This 325-nucleotide unclassified non-coding RNA is filed under the name fungal sp. RNAcentral describes it as "partial internal transcribed spacer region". The stretch from base 1 to 46 matches the Rfam family "Eukaryotic small subunit ribosomal RNA", at positions 1786 to 1831 of the family's 1831-position model. Lineage: Eukaryota; Fungi. The record is from RNAcentral.
AAGUCGUAACAAGGUUUCCGUAGGUGAACCUGCGGAAGGAUCAUUAUUGAAUAAUCUUGAUGGAUUGUUGCUGGCUCUUCAAAGGAGCAAGUGCACAUCUGUCAUUUUUAUCUUUCCACCAUGUGCACUAUGCAUAGACUUGACAUUUCUGUGAUCAAACUUUGUUUUUGAUUUUUUGGAGAUUGCUGUUUGUGAUAACAGCUUUUUCUGUGUUCAAGUUCUAUGAAUUUAUAUACACGCCUAUGCAUGUCAAAGAAUGUUAUAAAGGGUUUUUAAAAUCCUAUAAAGUUAAAUACAACUUUCAGCAACGGAUCUCUUGGCUCUC